RNAcentral lists this unclassified non-coding RNA (345 nucleotides) under Hevea brasiliensis (rubber tree). The record is from RNAcentral. Lineage: Eukaryota; Viridiplantae; Streptophyta; Magnoliopsida; Malpighiales; Euphorbiaceae.
GUUACUGAAGAGAGUCAGAGACUGUACGGUCUGAAGAGCAACAAAACGCCAAAACAUAAAAAGAAAGCAGGAAUGCAGGAAGUGGUUUUAUGGAACAUAGCUAAGAAACUUCAUAGCUCUUGAAUGUUUAUUGGCUUCUUCUUCUUCACUUGCAUACAAAUUCAUAUGGCAUCCUCCUUUUGUUGAUGCUAUCUAAUUUCUGCUGUAGCCGUACAGAUUUGAUUAGUGGCUCAGAUUUGCUGUCCGUUCUUCGCUCCUGGAUUUGAAUGUUCAUCAAAUCAUGCAAGCAAUUUGCAAGAACCACCAAAAUUUGCGAAAGUGAAACGACCAUUCGUUCGCUGUGAC